UAGUUGGUGGGGUAAAGGCCUACCAAGGCGACGAUCAGUAGCGGGUCUGAGAGGAUGAUCCGCCACACUGGAACUGAGACACGGUCCAGACUCCUACGGGAGGCAGCAGUGGGGAAUUUUGGACAAUGGGGGCAACCCUGAUCCAGCCAUUCCGCGUGAGUGAAGAAGGCCUUCGGGUUGUAAAGCUCUUUCAGCUGGAACGAAACGGUGCAUCCUAAUACGGUGUGCUAAUGACGGUACCAGCAGAAGAAGCACCGGCUAACUACGUGCCAGCAGCCGCGGUAAUACGUAGGGUGCGAGCGUUAAUCGGAAUUACUGGGCGUAAAGCGUGCGCAGGCGGAUUGUUAAGCAAGAUGUGAAAUCCCCGGGCUUAACCUGGGAAUGGCAUUUUGAACUGGCAGUCUAGAGUGUGUCAGAGGGGGGUGGAAUUCCACGUGUAGCAGUGAAAUGCGUAGAGAUGUGGAGGAACACCAAUGGCGAAGGCAGCCCCCUGGGAUAACACUGACGCUCAUGUACGAAAGCGUGGGUAGCAAACAGGAUUAGAUACCCUGGUAGUCCACGCCCUAAACGAUGUCAACUGGUUGUUGGGGGAGUGAAAUCCCUUAGUAACGAAGCUAACGCGUGAAGUUGACCGCCUGGGGAGUACGGUCGCAAGAUUAAAACUCAAAGGAAUUGACGGGGACCCGCACAAGCGGUGGAUGAUGUGGAUUAAUUCGAUGCAACGCGAAAAACCUUACCUACCCUUGACAUGUCCAGAACCCUGCAGAGAUGCGGGGGUGCCCGAAAGGGAAUUGGAACACAGGUGCUGCAUGGCUGUCGUCAGCUCGUGUCGUGAGAUGUUGGGUUAAGUCCCGCAACGAGCGCAACCCUUAUCAUUAGUUGCUACGCAAGGGCACUCUAAUGAGACUGCCGG
Molecule: ribosomal RNA, 913 nt
Filed under: uncultured bacterium
Lineage: Bacteria
Description: bacterial SSU rRNA
Rfam family: Bacterial small subunit ribosomal RNA
Source: RNAcentral